GUUUUUUGGAUCUAAUAUUUGUAACCAUGCUUUAACCGAUGUUCAAAAUUCAAUGUUACAAAACUAUGAUUUUGAAUAUAAAUUUGGCAUUAUCUAGAACAAGAAUAUUUAAAUUUUAUUGCAUAGAGAAUCAUUUAAAAUGGGGAGAUUUACAAAACUACCUUUUUUUACUACCUUUUUGCAACAAUACCCUUUUAUAUUGUUCAUUUUUAAAAAUAUCCAUUCCCUUGAACAGAAUGACCAAAUUACCCUCAUCUAUUAAGAACAUGUAAUUGGAAACUGAAAGUUUCCCGCCAAAUUUUUGGCGCUAAAAUUUAUUUUUCCCGCCAAAAAAAAAUUCCGCCAAACUUUUUUUCCCGCCAAAAAAAAAGUUCCCGCCCAAAAAAAAAUUUCCGCCAAAAUUUUUUCUCGUAAAUGUUUUUUCCCAGCCAAAAAAAUGCUUUUAAAAAUCCUUGUAAAUUUUUUAUAAACUCUUUUAAAAAACCUUGUAAAGUUUUUUAAAAGCUUUGGUAGUUGCUAAAAACCCUUGUAAAUCAUUUUAAAACCUCUUAAAAUCUUUAUAAAGUCUUUAAAAACAUAGGUAAAUACUUUAAAACCCCUUUUUAAACCUUUGUAAAUUA
Molecule: small RNA, 620 nt
Filed under: Arabidopsis thaliana (thale cress)
Lineage: Eukaryota; Viridiplantae; Streptophyta; Magnoliopsida; Brassicales; Brassicaceae
Description: ATSL150950
Source: RNAcentral